UAGGGAAUCUUCGGCAAUGGGGGGAACCCUGACCGAGCAACGCCGCGUGAGUGAAGAAGGUUUUCGGAUCGUAAAGCUCUGUUGUUAAGGAAGAACGAGUGUGAGAAUGGAAAGUUCAUACUGUGACGGUACUUAACCAGAAAGAGACGGCUAACUACGUGCCAGCAGCCGCGGUAAUACGUAGGUCCCGAGCGUUGUCCGGAUUUAUUGGGCGUAAAGCGAGCGCAGGCGGUUAGAUAAGUCUGAAGUUAAAGGCAGUGGCUCAACCAUUGUAGGCUUUGGAAACUGUUUAACUUGAGUGCAGAAGGGGAGAGUGGAAUUCCAUGUGUAGCGGUGAAAUGCGUAGAUAUAUGGAGGAACACCGGUGGCGAAAGCGGCUCUCUGGUCUGUAACUGACGCUGAGGCUCGAAAGCGUGGGGAGCGAACAGGAUUAGAUACCCUGGUAGUCCACGCCGUAAACGAUGAGUGCUAGGUGUUAGGUCCUUUCCGGGACUUAGUGCCGCAGCUAACGCAUUAAGCACUCCGCCUGGGGAGUACGACCGCAAGGUUG
This 550-nucleotide ribosomal RNA is filed under the name uncultured bacterium. Its description in RNAcentral is "bacterial SSU rRNA". It matches the Rfam family "Bacterial small subunit ribosomal RNA", at positions 355 to 896 of the family's 1533-position model. The record is from RNAcentral.